RNAcentral lists this ribosomal RNA (119 nucleotides) under Balaenoptera musculus (blue whale). Lineage: Eukaryota; Metazoa; Chordata; Mammalia; Artiodactyla; Balaenopteridae. The record is from RNAcentral.
GUCUAUGGCCAUACCACCCUGAAUGCGUCUGAUCUUGUCUGAUCUCGGAAGCUAAGCAGGGUCGGGCCUGGUUAGUACCUGGAUGGGAGACCGCCUGGGAAUACCGGGUGCUGUAGGCU